Molecule: long non-coding RNA, 321 nt
Organism: Hyla sarda
Lineage: Eukaryota; Metazoa; Chordata; Amphibia; Anura; Hylidae
Exons: 3
Source: RefSeq, a predicted model, not a curated record
UGACCACAGAGCGGCAGCAAAGAAUGCUGGGACCUGUAGGUUAUAGACAGAGUGCAGGGAAGUGAACAAGCAGGAUGGCAAAAAGGUUUAUUAGAGCCACGUACAGGAGAUCAAAAAAGAUCUCAGCUAUUAACAUUCUGCCCUCCCUGCUGGAGACUCUUGGCUUCCAUUCAAUCUACUGUACUUCUCUACGGUCCCCUGCAUGGAUCUGAAAGACGGCUAUCAAAGGAUACCUUUGUCAAGUGGAGCUAAAACUACUGAACUGAGACGCCUGUCUGUUUGGAUCUGUUCACUUGCUGGCAAGACUGAAGGGUUCCGUUC